RNAcentral lists this long non-coding RNA (229 nucleotides) under Hordeum vulgare. RNAcentral's name for it is "long non-coding RNA (HVUL_LNC019827)". Lineage: Eukaryota; Viridiplantae; Streptophyta; Magnoliopsida; Poales; Poaceae. The record is from RNAcentral.
GUGGCCGACCCGGACUCGCCGCUAUCCGCGCCGUCCGUGGUCACGGAGGUGGUCGCGCAGUCGUCUCCGCUCCUGCCGCCGCUCCGCCGGCCCACGUUCGUCGGCGCCAGCCUGCCGUGCUCCGCGACCUCCUCCCCCGUCCACAGCGCCACGGCCAAGCCGGACGAGCCCGCCGCGCCCAGCCUCGCCACGGUCAUCGCCCUGCGCUCCCUCGCGCGGCAGCACUCCG